RNAcentral lists this ribosomal RNA (253 nucleotides) under uncultured bacterium. RNAcentral describes it as "partial 16S ribosomal RNA". It matches the Rfam family "Bacterial small subunit ribosomal RNA", at positions 524 to 776 of the family's 1533-position model. The record is from RNAcentral.
GACAGAGGAGGCGAGCGUUAUCCGGAGUUAUUGGGCGUAAAGGGUACGUAGGCGGCUGGUCAAGUCUGGGGUUAAAGACCACAGCUUAACUGUGGGGGGGCCUUGGAAACUGACCGGCUGGAGUGGGGCAGGGGUUGCGGGAAUUCCCGGUGUAGCGGUGAAAUGCGUAGAUAUCGGGAAGAACACCUGAGGCGAAAGCGCGCAACGGGGCCCUAAUUGACGAUGAGGUACGAAAGCUAGGGGAGCGAAUGGG